GCCUCAUCUAGCUUACUUGAUAGAGCAUGAGACUCUUAAUCACAGGGUCACGGUUUUGAGCCCCAUGUUGGGUA
This is a non-coding RNA of Podarcis lilfordi (Lilford's wall lizard), 74 nucleotides long. The record is from the annotation of a GenBank genome assembly. Lineage: Eukaryota; Metazoa; Chordata; Lepidosauria; Squamata; Lacertidae.